GGCUGUGCGAAAGCGUAGACACCGCCCUCUCACGGCGGCAACACCGGUUCGAAUCCGGUAGGGGUCGCCA
RNAcentral lists this transfer RNA (70 nucleotides) under Pseudomonadales bacterium. RNAcentral's name for it is "tRNA-Glu". The record is from RNAcentral. Lineage: Bacteria; Pseudomonadati; Pseudomonadota; Gammaproteobacteria; Pseudomonadales.